Molecule: microRNA precursor, 78 nt
Filed under: Podarcis lilfordi (Lilford's wall lizard)
Lineage: Eukaryota; Metazoa; Chordata; Lepidosauria; Squamata; Lacertidae
Source: RNAcentral
UUCCCGUGUGUGUGUGUGUGUGUGUGUGUGUGUGUGUGUGUACACACACACACACACACACACACACACACAGUGGUA